CCUACGGGAGGCUGCAGUGAGGAAUAUUGGUCAAUGGGCGGGAGCCUGAACCAGCCAAGUCGCGUGAGGGAAGACGGUCCUAUGGAUUGUAAACCUCUUUAGGCGGGGAGCAAUGCCGGGCACGCGUGCCCGGAGGGAGAGUACCCGCAGAAUAAGCAUCGGCUAACUCCGUGCCAGCAGCCGCGGUAAUACGGAGGAUGCGAGCUGUAUCCGGAUUUAUGGGGUUUAAAGGGUGCGUAGGCGGACUUUUAAGUCAGCGGUAAAAUGUCCGGGCUCAACCCGGGCCGGCCGUUGAAACUGGGGAUCUUGAGUGGGCGAGAAGUAUGCGGAAUGCGUGGUGUAGCGGUGAAAUGCAUAGAUAGUACGCAGAACUCCGGUUGCGAAGGCAGCAUACCGGCGCCCGACUGACGUUGAGGCACGAAAGCGUGGGGAUCGAACAGGAUUAGAUACCCGUGUAGUC
RNAcentral lists this ribosomal RNA (460 nucleotides) under uncultured bacterium. Its description in RNAcentral is "partial 16S ribosomal RNA". It matches the Rfam family "Bacterial small subunit ribosomal RNA", at positions 338 to 795 of the family's 1533-position model. The record is from RNAcentral.